GACGAACGCUGGCGGCGUGCUUAACACAUGCAAGUCGAGCGAUGAAAGCCUUAUGAACUAUUCGUAGUGAUUGGAGCCGGAUUAGCGGCGGACGGGUGAGUAACGCGCGAGCAACCUGCCUUAAACAACGGGAUAGCCUCGGGAAACCGGGAUUAAUACCGUAUGAGACCCCGCCUUCACAUGAAGAAGAGGUUAAAGAUUUAUCGGUUUAAGAUGGGCUUGCGUCUGAUUAGCUAGUUGGUGAGAUAAAAGCCCACCAAGGCAACGAUCAGUAACCGGCUUGAGAGAGUGAACGGUCACAUUGGAACUGAGACACGGUCCAAACUCCUACGGGAGGCAGCAGUGGGGAAUAUUGCACAAUGGGGGAAACCCUGAUGCAGCGACGCCGCGUGAGCGACGAAGGAAUUCGUUUCGUAAAGCUCUGUCCAAGGGGAAGAUAAUGACAGUACCCUUGGAGGAAGCCCCGGCUAAAUACGUGCCAGCAGCCGCGGUAA
This 494-nucleotide ribosomal RNA is filed under the name uncultured bacterium. Its description in RNAcentral is "partial 16S ribosomal RNA". It matches the Rfam family "Bacterial small subunit ribosomal RNA", at positions 28 to 523 of the family's 1533-position model. The record is from RNAcentral.